RNAcentral lists this long non-coding RNA (2446 nucleotides) under Canis lupus familiaris (dog). RNAcentral's name for it is "lncRNA (ENSCAFG00845014935.1)". Lineage: Eukaryota; Metazoa; Chordata; Mammalia; Carnivora; Canidae. The record is from RNAcentral.
UAAAAUUAAAAUAAAUCCUGUGACUCCACUGGAGUCAUUACUCAAAUGAGGAGUGUGAAAAUCUUUGUUUUAUUUAAAUUAACAGAAAAAAAUCUCAAGAUCACACUCCUACUUUUAAAAAUGAAAACACUAAUUAAACCACCAUUUUAAAUUAACAAGUUAUUCAAGAAUAAGACAUAAACAUAGUGUCUAAAGGUUGCUUAAAGUAUGGGAAAACAAGCACUCUAAUACUGCUCUUAGGGUCUAAAUUGCUGUCAAAUUCUGGAAGAACAAACUGGAAAUAUCAAAAGCUAAAAGGUAUUUACUCACCGAUAUAGCAAUUACAAUUUCACUAAUAUUCUACACAUGUAAUCAAACAAGUGCACAAAGAUAAGUGUGUUGAUUUUUUUUUGUAUCUGCAAUAGGAAGGAGAAAAAAGGAAACAAUCUAACUGCCCACCAAGAGGGACACUGGCAAAACAAAUGACACCUUCAUAAAAUGCAACAUGGAAUAUACUGUACAUUUAUGGAAAGGGAUCCAAGUUUAAAAUGUAUGUAUUUAUACAUUUAAUGUGCUUCAAUUCACAUAAAUGAUUAUGUAUUUUUCACAUAUCAAUAAAAAUUAAGAAUAGGCAAAUGAAUAAAGUACGUGAACAAUUAUAGAAAAAUAUAAAUGGCCAAUAAACAUGUUGAAAACACAGUUUGCUAGGAUUCAAAUAAAUGUAAGUUAAUCUAUUAGAUAUUGAUUUUUCCAUUUCUGAAUCUGGCAUACAUUUUGCUUUAAAAUAUUAAUUUACACAUUUACCAAAGAGGAGGCAAGUUUGCUUAUGCACAAAUGGAUUAUUAAUAGCCAUAAUCUUUCCUAUAUACACUUACAUGUGCAUAGAGUAUAUCCCAAAGGACAGUCAAAAAAAAAUCUGAGCAAUUUUUAUUUCUAUGAAAGAGAUACAGGGUCAUAUGAAAGUGAAAGAGAAAUCCUUUAUUUACAAUAUGCCCUUCUGAAUUAUUUGGAUUUUGUUUUAUAAAGAGGUGUUAUUACUAACACUGUAAAAAAUUCCUUUCUAAAAGUUUAACUAAUCGCCAUGAUAUUAACAGAAAUUAUUAGAUGUAGCUCUCCCUGGACAAAGUAAAGUAACAUCUUCCUAACACAGUAAGAUCAGUGGCAUAAAUGUUCCCAAAGCAGAAUCCACCGUGUGGCAAAAUCUCUAAAGUUUCUUUCCAGGAAUAAGAGGAUGCUGUCUUUCCUGGUCCCCUUGCUACCUUAGUUGGUUCAGGAUGCUAUAAAAGAAUAGCAUAGACUGGGUGGCUUUUUAUCUCUUACAGUUCUGGAGGCUGGAACGAUGAGAUCAAGGUGCCAGCACGGUCAGGCUCCUGGUGAGGGCCCUCUCCUGGUUUACAGACAGUCACCUUCCUGCUGAAUUCUCAGAUUUCUCAGAGAGAGAGGAGACCAUUUCUCCUCUCUCUCUUUUCAUAGAAGCACCAAUCUCGUACAUAAGGGAUCCAGCUUCAUGACAUAAUUACCCACCUCCCGAAGUCCCCAUCUCCAAGUGCCAUCACAUUGGGGAUUAGAGCUUCAACACAGGAAUUUGGAGAAGUCACAAAACAUUCAGUCCAUAGAAUUACUUUAGAUCAUAUUUCUUCCUGUCUUUAAUCUAAAUAUAUGGUGAUUAUAGGAAGCUGAAUAAUAACACUAAGUUAAUUUUUCUCCUUCCUGAUACCACCUGUUCUUGGGUGGUAUUUGCCUUUAAGUGAAGGGAUGAAGGGAUCAUUCUAAUGGUUAUAAAUUCCAAUUUGAAUGUUAGGGAUGUUUGGGUUAGCCUUGAUUUCAGGAAAUAAUUCUAUAUACUUUUCUUUAAAUCUCCUGUUUGACAGCCAUUUUAAAUAUUCAGAAAUAAAAAUAGGUGGGGCACCUGGGUGGCUCAGUCAGUUAAGUGUCUCUGCCUUUAGUUUAGGGUCAUGAUCCUCAAAUCCUGGGAUUGAGUCUGGCAUCCAGCUCCCUGCUCAGCAGGGGGUCUGCUUCUACCUCAACCCCUUCCAUCCCCCCCGGCUUGUGAUAUCUCUCUCUCUCUCUCUCUCUCUCUCUCUCUCUCGUGCUUUCUCUCUCAUGCUCAAAUAAGUAAAUAAAAUAUUUUUUAAAAAGAUUGGUUAAAAAAAAGAUAUAAAAAUAGGCAAUAUUCAAAAAGAAACCCGAUUAUAGAGAAAUUAAGGGAAAAGCUACAGCAUUUUCAAUAUAGAAAUUCUUUUCAGUUUACAUGGCAUUUGCAAAAAGAAAUUUGGAAUUGAGCGAAUGAAUGAGUUUGAUGAAAGACACAUAAUUCAGUUGCCAAAGAUUCUCUGUACUGAUUGGGGAGGUAAAGGUAAUCUCAUACAGUAGAUAUAAAAUCAUACAUGCAUAGUUUCUUAUUUUGGUUGCAAGUCUAUAUCACAUGCGGUUAGGAUCACCCUAUGUAAAAGAGAAAGCACUCUUU